RNAcentral lists this ribosomal RNA (496 nucleotides) under uncultured bacterium. Its description in RNAcentral is "partial 16S ribosomal RNA". It matches the Rfam family "Bacterial small subunit ribosomal RNA", at positions 28 to 506 of the family's 1533-position model. The record is from RNAcentral.
GAUGAACGCUGGCGGCGUGCCUAAUACAUGCAAGUCGAGCGAACGGACGAGAAGCUUGCUUCUCUGAUGUUAGCGGCGGACGGGUGAGUAACACGUGGAUAACCUACCUAUAAGACUGGGAUAACUUCGGGAAACCGGAGCUAAUACCGGAUAAUAUUUUGAACCGCAUGGUUCAAAAGUGAAAGACGGUCUUGCUGUCACUUAUAGAUGGAUCCGCGCUGCAUUAGCUAGUUGGUAAGGUAACGGCUUACCAAGGCAACGAUGCAUAGCCGACCUGAGAGGGUGAUCGGCCACACUGGAACUGAGACACGGUCCAGACUCCUACGGGAGGCAGCAGUAGGGAAUCUUCCGCAAUGGGCGAAAGCCUGACGGAGCAACGCCGCGUGAGUGAUGAAGGUCUUCGGAUCGUAAAACUCUGUUAUUAGGGAAGAACAUAUGUGUAAGUAACUGUGCACAUCUUGAUGGUACCUAAUCAGAAAGCCACGGCUAACUACGU